Hibiscus syriacus is the source of this 196-nucleotide long non-coding RNA. RefSeq lists it as uncharacterized. The record is from RefSeq and is a predicted model, not a curated record. The transcript has 3 exons. Lineage: Eukaryota; Viridiplantae; Streptophyta; Magnoliopsida; Malvales; Malvaceae.
AAAUCAUCCAAAGGACCUUACUUCUGGUGAGCCCUGGGGCAUGGUUGACUGAUAUGUGCCAAGAAAGAUACGAAGUUAGGGAAAAAAAGAGUUCUAAGAAGAGACCAAGGGGAUUGAAGGCCAUAGGGAGUGUGGAAAGUGAUUCGGAUUGAAGAUUAUCAUAAGCCAUGGCAACUACAGCAGGAGCAUUUUUUCU